This 336-nucleotide long non-coding RNA is filed under the name Brassica napus (rape). RNAcentral describes it as "long non-coding RNA (BNAP_LNC026602)". Lineage: Eukaryota; Viridiplantae; Streptophyta; Magnoliopsida; Brassicales; Brassicaceae. The record is from RNAcentral.
AAAUUUAAUUUUUUUUUAUUUUUCAAAAUUUGAAAUCUUAUCCCAAAAUCCCACUCCCCAACUCUAAACCGUAAAACCUAAACUCUAAACCCUAAACCCUAAACUCUAAACCCUAAACCUUAUAUCCUAAACCCUAAACCCUAAAUCCUAAACCCCACCCCUUAACUCUAAACCCUAAACUCUAAACCCCACCCCUAAACUCUAAACCCUAAAUUCUAAACCCUAAAUCCUAAACCUCACCCCUUAACUCUAAAUCCAUUAAUUUACCAUUGGGGUAUAAGUGUAUAUUUAUCUCUUUUGAUAAAACAUUAAGUGCUAUUUUGGUCAUUUUUUAUU